RNAcentral lists this long non-coding RNA (22924 nucleotides) under Equus caballus (horse). RNAcentral's name for it is "lncRNA (ENSECAG00000046484.1)". The record is from RNAcentral. Lineage: Eukaryota; Metazoa; Chordata; Mammalia; Perissodactyla; Equidae.
CUCCCAUAGCAUCAUUUUCAGAGACUGGUUCUAUUUCUUCAACCUUAAACUUCACACUUCAAAAGCAGCAUGUUAUAUAAAAUGUUUUAUAAAACGUCUCUGCUUGGCUUUAUUUUUUUGUUUCUAUUUCUUGAUGUUUCUUAUAGAUUCUUUUAAUGACCCAAUUCUCCGGUUCAUCAUUGUAUGCUCUCCAUUAUGUAUUAUUUAAUUUGCUAACAAAGUCAAAAUUUUUAGAGACUGGCUUCAUAUUACUGUGGAACACCAACUAGCAUCAAAAGCCUUCUACAAAGUAGAUCCAGCCUUUUUUAUUGUCCUAGUUUGUAUCUCUUUGUAUAGAAAUUUUAUUGUAUUGGCAUUAUAUUGCCAGGCUGCAAAACCUGUAUCCGUUUUCCCCUCACCUUAUCCACUAGCUUCCACAUUCGUGUCUUUGUUGCUUUGAAUCCCAUUCUCUGCCUUAUCUUUUUAUCUCUAAUUGAAACCUGUAAAGAAUUUCAAAUUCUACAUUUUUUCAUAUAAGCUAACCUUAUCCUCAACAAGGGUUCUGGGAACCACCAUUACUUGAUCUGUGUUUUUCAGAACAUGUUUGCUAUGUUCUGUCUCGUGUAAGGUGGUCUGAGUUACCCUAUAGAUAGAUAGAUAAUCAGCUCUUUAAAGGCUGGCCUUGUCCCCUCCUUCUCAUGGUACUGUGGGGUUUUGCACACAAUAGAGUCUUGAUUUAUAUUUGUUUAAUUGAAUUACACCUACUUGGUUGUUGGUAAAAUUCAGUUUUAUUACAAAGAUUGAUUUAAUUCCUUCAGCAAAUAGUCUCAAAAAUUCUCUUGGGUUUUUAUAUUUGUUUGUCACAGUAAGCUUUGCAGUUAUUACUACUCUGGCUUAAAGAACAUAUUUAUAAAUAUUCUUUUGGGGACUACUUUUAAUAACUUGUAAAUAGGAUUGACAAGUUACACUUUCUGAGUCACUUUAUGCUUUUGGCAACAAAACCUCAAAAACAUAGUUAAUUUUGAAGAAGAUCCUUCUGGAUUUGUGUGCUACCAAUAGUAUCUAUCCGUUUGUUUAGAGAGAUUAAAUUUUAUUGCUCCAACUUUAUAUGAAAAUAAGAGUGUUGACAAUGUCAAAAGGAAGUGAUCUUUGGAGACUUACUUUAAUAAACAGAUACAGGAAAUCCAUAAGAAGCAUUCCCAAUGUAAAUUGCUAUUUCUAUAGUAUUUAAGGGUGAAAUACAAAUAGUUUAUGUUCUGAAAUAAUUUAUGUGGUAGUUUCUACUUUUCAUAGCUUUACAUAUAAUUAGAGCUUAACAAAUGUUUGUUGUUUUAUCUAUGUUGCUUCAUUUUAUCUUUAGAAUAGCUUAUUGGGUAGGCAGUGUGUUUAAUUUCUGUUUUACAAAGAAACCAUUUGUGAAAAGGUAAAAUGAUUAGCCAAAAUUCACAGAACAUUGAAACUGGGAAUAUCUACUUAAGUUCCUUGCUGUUGAAGGUGUGGUCCACAGACCAGAAGCUUUGGCAUCGCCUUGUUGGAAAUGUAGGGCCUCACUCCAGAUCUAUUGAUUCAUUAUUUUCAUUUUCACAGCAUGUUCACAUGAUUCCUUUGCACAUUAACAUUUGAGAAGUACUGGUUACAUAUCUUUUCACAUGUUUUAUGUUUUAAAAUGUAGAUUUUAUUAUUAUUCUGCUAUGGUGAGGCCAAGAAAUCAGGAGACAGUUGCCAUUGAAACGACAGUUUGUUACUCACAUUGAAAAGAUUGUUCUUUGUUCCCAGGAGGAGAGGGCAUGCCAGACCAUGCAGGGGCCCACUUUGGGAGGGACCAACGUCACUCAGAAGGCACAGGGAAUGCGGGAAAAUGUGAACAAGAACCUUUAUUAUGACUUUCCUGAGAAAGACAAGGCAAGGCAGGAUAAGCAAGAUUAGGACUGGCUAAUUUGAAUAAUUUCAGUGGGCUCCAAGGUAUAGAGGCUGUCUUUAGUUGUCUCAUAGUUGGCCCUCAGGUAAUUAGGACAGGAGAAUAAUGGCCUGGAGUGUAAGAGCCCAGUAAAGGAUGUGGUAGGAUAUGGGCUCUGGAUUGGUUAGUUUGCAAAUGAAAGACAUGUUCCAAGAUGAGUCCUUUACUAUCUCUGGGAAUUGGCUGGAGCUGGGAGGGGCAGUCUCUCGAGGGUCAGCAAGGCCCCAAGGUGUAAAAAUAAAAAGACAAGAUUAACACAUUAUCACAUAGAGUGAAACUCUAUCAUGAUAGCCAGAGUCCAGAAAAAUUUAUAUAAAAUAUGGAGAUGCAGUUAUUGCAAGGUUAAUGAAAGGAUUGAGAGAGCCAGUCCAGCUAGCCUCUGGCUGGGCAGAUGAAAUCCAUUCAGGUCCUCCAGGUAAUGCUGCCUGGGGGCCCUAGGUAAUGCCCCUAGGUAGCAUUACCUGGAGGCAGCUCUCCACUCUGGUUUAUUCUUUAUCCAUGGAUAUUGUUUUGAUUCCUCUGACUGGCAGGGACUUCCAGGAGCACAGCAGUAAUUCCAGAAAUAAGCUCAUGAGUUGACAUCUGUUUCAUUGGCCCUAUAAUGAAAUUUGGUCACAGAGAAUCCUGAAGGCAGAGGACCUGCCCUUAUCUCCCUGUUUCCUGCUUCCUCCCAUCUCCUCUCAAGCCUACCAGUCCUCCUCACCAGAGGAUAAGAACUAAGGAGCUUUGGGGUUACCCCCAUUUGAGGAUCUGGGUGAAGAAUACAAUGCAAUUGCUAGUUGGGUUAUAUGAGAAUUAGUGAGGUUAGGGGAAACUGUACAGCCACAUGGUACUAGCUUAAGAAAAAUAACAAUUCCAUCAGUUUAUUGAGAAACUACUGUUAUGCUCAGUACUGCACAGAUGUUAGCACAUGCAAAUAUGAAAGUUGAAGGUCAGAGAGGUUUAGUAAUUUGACCAAAGUUGUUAUAUGUUGGAGAGUUAGUGUUAAAUACCAUGUCUGUCUGACUUAAAAACCUAUGCAUUCUCCUAUAGGCACAUCUUUAGUGUCGUAAAGUGGAUAAAAGUGCUUAAACAGUUUAUGUAUUCUGAGAACUUUUCCUUCCUUAUUAAAGAAAGUGCUGAUCUCUCUGUUCAUGGGUUCAUUGUGAUAGCAUCAAUAAGAGAUAGAAUAAUUUCCUGAUUCAUCUGAAAUGGCUAGGGUUCAAUUUUUUUUAGGUCAGGUUACUUUACUUUUGUCAUACUCAAACCUAAAUUAUUUAUCAAAUCUGGAAUGUUCCCAGGACUGUCUUUGCUUGGCUCACCUAGGUUGAUAAAUCUAUGAUAUCAUUUAGAAAUAACAUUUGACUUAGGAUAAAAGGAAUUUCUGUGGAGAUGUAUAAUAUAGAAGAGAGGAGUUUGUGUAGAAUUGUAAAAGGUACUUUAAAUGUUUUUUACUUCUAUUGAAAUAUAAUUUACAUACAGUAAAAUUCAUAAAUUUUAAGUGUUUAAUUCAAUAAUUUUGGCAAAUAUGUACUGCAGGUAUAUUGGUCAGGUAUAUCAUUUUAAGCUAAAAUUUACCUUCUAGUAUAAAACAGAAUCAUGCAUUUUCAGUGUAGGUGAUAUGUUAAUCAAGAUUUUUAUAUUAUUUACAACUUACGCAUUUCCCUUUUAGCAUAUUACUGUUAUUCAUAAAGUUUAAGAACUCUGUGCCAUGCCAAUUUAAAUUUCUCAUAAAAGGGUCAUUAGUGUGGCAGAUAAAAUGCACUGCUAUGGAAAAAAGAGUAAUAGAUUACAACUGCAUUAUAAUAAUUGUUCAGAAAAUGAUAGAAUGUCAUUAAAUGCAAAAUUAUGAGUAUUUUAGUAAUACAACAUGUAAAUGUACCACGUUAGCCUAAGAUGUUCUCAAACUUUGACUUCCAUCAGAAUCACCCAGAAGCCUUGUCAAAACAGAUUGGUGGGUCUUGUCACCUAAGUUUUUCUAGGUGAGGUUGAUGUUGCUGCUCUUGGGACCACACCUUGAGAGCUAAUCCCUUAGAGAUGUGCUUCUUUUUGAGCCAUUUAGCAAUGUGUCAAAAAUGUGUGUUUUUUUUUUUUUUUAAGAUUAUGAUAGAUUACAACCUUGUGAGAGUUCAGUUGUACAUUAUUGUUAGUCAUGUUGUGGGUACACCACUUCACCCUUUGUACCCUCCCCCCACCCCCACUUUUUCCCUGGUAACCACCGAUCAGUUCUCCUUGUCUAUAUGUUAACUUCCACCUAUGAGUGGAGUCAUACAGAGUUCGUCUUUCUCUGUCUGGCUUAUUUCGCUUAACAUAAUACCCUCAAGGUCCGUCCAUGUUAAUGCGAAUGGGAAGAUUUUGUCCUUUUUUAUGGCUGAGUAGUAUUCCAUUGUGUAUAUACACCAUAUCUUCUUUAUUCAAUUAUCAGUUGCUGGGCACUUAGGUUGGUUCCACGUCUUGGCUAUUGUGAAUAAUGCUGCCAUGAACAUAGGGGUGCGUGGGACUCUUGGAAUUGCUGAUUUCAGGUUCUUAGGAUAGAUAACCAGUAGUGGGAUGGCUGGAUCAUAAGGUACUUCUAUUUUUAACUUUUUGAGAAAUCUCCAUACUGUUUUCCAUAGUGGCUGCACUAGUUUGCAUUCCCACCAACAGUGUAUGAGGGUUCCUUGUUCUCCACAGCCUCUCCAACAUUUGUCACUCUUGGAUUUGGAUAUUUUUGCCAAUCUAACGGGUGUAAGGUGAUAUCUUAGUGUAGUUUUGAUUCGCAUUUCCCUAAUGAUUAGUCAUGAUGAGCAUCUUUUCAUGUGUCUAUUGGCCAUCCUUAUAUCUUCUUUGGAGCAAUGUCUGCUCAUGUCCUCUGCCCAUUUUUUGAUCGGGUUGUUUGUUUUUUUGUUGUUGAGCUGUGUGAGUUCUUUAUAUAUUAUGGAGAUUAACCCUUUGUCGUAUAAGUAGCUUGUAAAUAUUUUUUCCCAGUUAGUGGGCUGUUUCUUUUGUUUCUGUCCUGUUUUCCCUUGCCUUGAAGAAGCUCUUUAGUCUGAUGAAGUCCCAUUUGUUUAUUCUUUCUAUUGUUUCCCUCAUCUGAGGAGUUAGGGUGUCUGAAAAGAUUCUUUUGAAACUGAUGUCAAAGAGUGUACUGCCUAUAUUCUCUUCUAGAAGACUUAUUGUUUCAAGCCUAAUCUUUAGGUCUUUGAUCCAUUUUGAGUUUAUUUUUGUGAAUGGUGAAAACGAAUGGUCAAUUUUCAAUCUUUUACAUGUGGCUGUCCAGUUUUCCCAGCACCAUUUGUUAAAGAGACUUUCUUUUCUCCAUUAUAGGUCCUCAGCUCCUUUGUCAAAGAUUAGCUGUACAUAGAUGUGUGGUUUUAUUUCUGGGCUUUCAAUUCUGUUCCAUUGAUCUGUGCGCCUGUUUUUGUACCAGUACCAUGCUGUUUUGAUCACCGUAGCUCUGUAGUAUGUUUUGAAAUCAGGGAUUGUGACGCCUCCAGCUUUGUUCUUCUUUCUCGGGAUUGCUUUAGCAAUUCGGGGUCUUUUCUUGCCCCUUAUGAAUUUUAGGAUUCUUUGUUCAAUUUCUGUAAAGAAUGUCAUUGGGAUUCUGAUUGGGAUAGCGUUGAAUCUGUAGAUUGCUUUAGGUAGUAUGGACAUUUUAACUAUGUUUAUUCUUCCAAUCCAUGGGCAUGGAAUGUCUUUCCAUCUCUUUAUGUCGUCAUCAAUUUCUUUCAAUAAAGUCUCGUAGUUUUCAUUGUAUAGAUCUUUCACUUCCUUGGUUAAAUUUAUCCCAAGGUAUUUUAUUCUUUUCGUUGCAAUUGUGAAUGGGAUUGAGUUCUUGAGUUCUUUUUCUGUUAGUUUAUUGUUAGUGUAUAGAAAUGCUACUGAUUUAUGUAUGUUGAUUUUAUACCCCGCAACUUUGCUGUAGCUGUUGAUUGUUUCUAAUAGUUUUCCUAUGGAUUCUUUGGGGUUUUCUAUAUAUAAGAUCAUGUCGUCUGCAAACAGCUAGAGUUUUACUUCUUCAUUGCCUAUUUGGAUUCCUUUUGUUUCUUUUUCCUGCCGAAUUGCUCUGGCCAACACCUCCAGUACUAUGUUGAAUAGGAGUGGGGAAAGGGGCACCCUUGUCUGGUUCCUGUUCUCAGAGGGAUGGCUUUCAGUUUUUGUCCGUUGAGUAUGAUGUUAGCUGUGGGUUUGUCAUAUAUGGCCUUUAUUAUGUUGAGGUACUCUCCUUCUAUACACAUUUUAUUGAGGGUUUUUAUCAUAAAUGGAUGUUGGAUCUUGUCGAAUGCUUUCUCUGCAUCUAUUGAGAUGAUCAUGUGGUUUUUGUUUCUCAUUUUGUUAAUGUAGUGUAUCACGUUGAUUGACUUGUCGAUGUUGAACCAUCCCUGUGUCCCUGGUAUAAAUCCCACUUGAUCAUGGUGUAUAAUCUUUUUGAUGUAUUGCUGUAUUUGGUUUGCCAGAAUUUUGUUGAGGAUUUUUGCAUCUAUGUUCAUCAGUGAUAUUGGCCUGUAGUUUUCCUUCUUUGUGCUGUCCUUGUCAGAUUUGGGGAUCAGAGUGAUGUUGGCUUCAUAGAAUGUGUUAGGGAGUCCUCCAUCUUCCUCAAUUUUCUGGAAUAGUUUGAGAAGGAUAGGUAUUAAAUCUUCUUUGAAUGUUUGGUAGAAUUCUCCAGAGAAGGCGUCUGGUCCUGGACUCUUAUUUUUGGGGAGGUUUUUGUUUCUAUUUCUUUACUUGUGAUUGGUCUAUUCAGAUUCUCUAUUUCUUCCUGAUUCAGUUUGGGGAGGUUGUAAGAGUCUAGGAAUUUGUCCGUUUCUUCUAGGUUGUUCAAUUUGUUGGCAUAUAGUUUUUCAUAGUAUUCUCUUAUGAUCCCUUGUAUUUCUUUGGUAUCUGUUGUGAUUUCUCCUCUCUCAUUCCUAAUUUUAUUUAUUUGAGAUUUCUCACUUCUUUUCUUAGUGAGUCUGGCUAAGGGUUUGUCGAUUUUGUUAAUUUUUUCCAAGAACCAACUCUUUGUUUCACUGAUCCUUUCUACUGUCUUUUUUGUUUCAAUAUCGUUUAUUUCUGCUCUAAUUUUUAUUAUUUCCCUCCUUCUCUGACUUUGGGCUUUGUUUGUUCUUCCUUUUCUAAUUCUGUUAGGUGUUGUUUGAGGUUGCUUAUGUGAGAUUUUUCUUGUGUAGUGAGGUGAGCCUGUAUUGCAAUGAAUUUCCCUCUUAGGACUGCUUUUGCUGCAUCCCAGAUGAGUUGGUAUGGCAUGUUUUCAUUUUCAUUUGUCUCCAGAUAAUAUUUGAUUUCUUCUUUAAUUUCUUCAAUAAUCCAUUGUUUGUUCAGUAGCGUGUUGUUUAGUCUCCACAUUUUUGCACCUUUCCCUGCUUUAUUGUUGUAGUUGAUUUCUAGUUUCAUACCAUUAUGAUCAGAAAAGAUGCUUGAUGUUAUUUCAACUCUCUUGUAUUUAUUGAUGCUUGCUUUGUUUCCCAAGAUAUGGUCUAUCCUUGAGAAUGUUCCGUGCGUACUUGAGAAGAAUGUGUAACCUGCUGUUUUUGGGUGAAGUGUUCUAUAUAUAUCUAUUAAGUCCAUCUGGUCUAAUUUUUCAUUUAAUUCUAUAAUUUCCUUGUUGAUUUUCUGUCUGGAUGAUCUAUCCAUUGGUGUUAAUGGGCUGUUGAGGUCCCCUACUAUUAUUGUAUUGUUGUUGAUGUCUCCUUUUAGUUCUGUUAAGAGUUGCUUUACAAAUUUUGGUGCUCCUGUGUUGGGUGCAUAUAUAUUUAUAAGUGUUGUGUCAUGUUGGUGGAAUGUCCCUUUUAUCAUUAUAUACUGUCCCUCUUUGUCUUUCUUUAUCUGGUUUGCUUUGAAGUCUACUUUGUCUGAUAUUAGUAUAGUGACACCUGCUUUCUUUUGUUCAUUGUUAGCUUGGAGUAUUGUUCUCCAUCCCUUCACUCUGAGUCUGUGUUUGUCUUUGGGGCUGAGGUGUGUUUCCUGGAGGCAGCAUAUUGUUGGGUCUUGUUCUUUGAUCCAUCCUGCCACUCUGUGUCUUUUGAUUGGAGAAUUCAAUCCAUUUACAUUCAGAGUGAUUAUUGAAAUGUGGGGGCCUACCGCAGCCAUUUUAUCUCUUGUUUUCCGGUUCUCUUGCAUUUCCUUUGUUUCUCGUCCCAUGGUUUUUGAAUUACUAAUUCAGGUAUGUAAAUUUCUGUACUGGCUGUCUUCUUAUUUGUAAUUUGUGUCUUUAUUCUUGUUAUUUGCUUAGUGGUUACCAUAUGGUUAGUAUAAAACAUCUCAUAGAUGAGAUAGUCCAUUUUCUGAUAGCCUCUUAUUUCCUUAAAUUAAAACCUUCUGUCCCUUUUCUCUUCCCCUUCUAGGUUGUUAUUGUCAGAUUUCUUUUCCCCCCUUCUUUCUUGUGUUGUGAGUUUGUGGUUAAAAUGACAGGGUUUAUUUAUUCUUGGUGUUGCCCUUCCUUUUAUCUUUAAUAUUUUAUUUAACUUUUGCUAACCUGUUCUGAUGGAGAUCUGCUACUUUCUAUUGUUGUCCUUCUACUUAUCUCCUUUGCUGUUGGUUUUGUAGCCCCUUGCCUUUUUUUGAUUUUUCAGGUAUGAGGGUUUUCCUGAGCAUUUCUUGAAGACUAGGUUUUGUGGCAAUGAACUCCCUUAAUUUUUGUUUAUCUGGGAAAGUUUUUAUUUCUCCAUCGUAUUUGAAGGAUAUUUUUGCUGGGUAGAGUAUUCUUGCUUGCAGGUUUUUGUCCUUCAGAGUUUUGAAUAUAUCAUUCCACUCUCUUCUAGCCUGUAAAGUUUCUGCAGAGAAAUCUGCUGAUAGCCUUGUGGGGGUUCCUUUGUAGGUUAUUUUCUUCUGCCUGGCUGCCCUUAGUAUUUUCUCCUCGUUGUUGACUUUUGCUAGCUUCACUACUAUAUGCCUUGGGGUUGGUCUUCUUGCAUUGAUAAAGUUUGGAGAUCUAUUGGCUUCUGUCACAUGAAGUUCUAUCUCUCUCCCCAGGUUGGGGAAAUUCUCAGCCAUUAUUUCUUUGAAUAGGCUUUCUGCCCCCUUCUCCUUCUCUUCUCUCUCUGGUAUACCUAUAAUCCUUACAUUGCAUCUCCUAAUUUAGUUAGAUAAUUCUCGGAGAGUUUCUUCAUUUCUUUUUAGUCUUAGUUCUCUCUCCUCCUCUGCCUGAAGCAUUUCUAUAUUCCUAUCUUCCAAAUUGCUAAUUCUGUCCUCCGUAUUAUCGGCCCUACUGUUCAGUGCAUCUAGAUUUUUCUUAAUCUCCUCUCUUGUGUUCUUCAUUUCCAGUAUCUCUGUUCGGUUCUUCUUUAUAGUAUCAAACUCUUUUGUGACAUAGCUCCUGUACUCGUUGAGUUGUCUAUCUGAAUUCUCUUUUAACUCAUUGAGUUUUUUAAUGAUGGCUGUUUUGAAGUCAUCGUCAUUUAGGUUAUAUAUUUCAGUGUCUUUUGGGUUGUUUUCUGUGUAUUUGUCAUUUUCCUUCUGUUCUGGAGAUUUCAUAUAUAUUUGCAUAUUGCUUGAUGGUGUAGAUUUGUGCCUCCACAUAGAGAUAGAUUUUAGUUACUGCUUCCACUUGUUUCUACUGGUGUGGUGGUGGAACAGCUGUUUAUACUGCACUGACCAGGAACCCUAUCAGCUGUUGCUAACUGGGCCUGGGCCUCUCCUCCUAGUCGCUGUGGUCCUGUGGGGUCCCUCUUCAGCUGUGGGGGCAGUCACAAGGGGGCUUCAGGCUGCUGGUGCCUACUUUUGCAGACCACCUAGACGUGCUCCCUCCUUAGGGUCUGCAGCGGUGUUAUGGGCUUUCCCAGCAGCCAGGGGCAGGAUCACCUAUAUUUGCAGCUCUGUCACUGUCGGCACCCACAAAAUCUCACUUGUCCAUUGUAGGUCACAGGAGAGCUACAGGCAUCUUCUGCAGUCUGUGGUUAGCUCACCUAGCCAUGCCACUUUUGUCCCAGGGUCUUCCAGCCUUGUUCUUGUCGGGGGCGGGUGGGGCUCUCUACUAGUGCUGUGCAGAGGCUUUUGCUGAGGCUGCUGUGAGACUGUAGAGUUUCCUCCUGGGCCACGGAGCCGGGCCUCUGGAACUCCACCCAGCCCCAGUCCUCUCCCCCAGGAUCUUGGGGGUCCCCUUGACCUGUCUGGGGGACAGCUGGAGACCGUGAGUUCAGUGGCAGCUGGCUGGCUGCUGCUCUGCCUGGGAUUCUCCUCUUCAGGACCCUCCUAGCAUUCUGAAUGCUGGGCAGAGCCUCUCCACUAAUGGCGAGUAGAGGCUUUCCCUGCUGCCAGAUCCAGACCCCAGAGUUUCCCCCUGGGCCAUGGAGCCAGCCACUGGAACUUCACCCAGCCCCAGUCCUCUCCCAGGAAAUCUCCUGUAGCACCGUGCCCCGACCGGGCGACAGCUGCAGUCCGUGAGACCGGUGGCAGCAGCUGGCGGGCUGCUGCCCAGUUCCGGAUUCUCUCUGGGAGCCUCCCAGCAUUGUGUAUGCUGGGCGGGACCUCUCUGCUAAUGGCGAGUAGAGGCUUUGUCUGCUGCCAAAACGGGAUUCUGGAGUUCCCCCCUGGGCCGCGGAGCUGGCCGCUGGAACUCCCCCCAGCCCCAGUCCUCUCCCAGGAGAUGUUCAGUAGUCCCGUGCCCUGACCAGGCGACAGUGGCAGUCUGUGGGACUGGCGGCAGCAGCUGGCGGGUUGCUGCCUCAUUUGGGAUUCUCUCUGGGAGCCUCCCGGCGUUGUGUAUGCUGGGUGGGGCCUCUCCGCUAAUGGCGAGUAGAGGCUUUGUCUGCUACCAGGACGGAAGCCUGGAGUUUCCCCCUGGGCCACAGAGCUGGCCGCUGGAACUCCAACUAGCCCCAGUCCUCUCCCAGGAGAUCUCCGGUAGCGCCAUGCCCUGACCGGGUGACAGCCACAGUCCAUGAGACCGGUGGCAGCAGCUGUCGGGCUGCUGCCCCAUUUGGGAUUCUCUCGGGGAGCCUCCUGGCAUUGUGUAUGCUGGGCAGGGCCUCUCCGUUAAUGGCGAGUAGAGGUUUUCCCUGCCGCCUCUGGUGUGGGACUCUGGAGCUUCCCCCUGGGCUUAGAUGUAAUCGCGGGGGGCUUAGGUAGGGCUGUGGUCACCUGUUUCCACCAUCGCUCCUCUGAUGUGUGCACCCUCCUGCCCUUGGUGUGUGGCGAUGUUCUGGGGGCGUCUGCUGGAAGAAAGCUGCUUGCAGGUACUAGGCUGUUCGGGGUUGGGGUCGGAGAGUUUCCACUUAUCUCCACCUCCUCCCCGGGGGAAGUCUGUCCGCCUUCCGAUGUAUAGCAGCACGGGUCUCUCAGGUGUCUUGAGAUGCUGUGUGGAUAUCCUUUCUUAAGCGAUGAAUGUCCAAUUAGUUGUAGAUUCAAAGGCGGAGAGACAAAGAAGACUACUCAUGAAAAAUGUGUUUUUGAUAUCUAUAAAAGUUCCUUUUGUUAAUUGUCUUUCUGUCAUUCAAAAGACUGGAUUGAAUAAUAAAUUACUUGAUUACAAUAAUGACAGAAAAUCUGUGAAUAUAGUUUUGUAAAAGAAGGAAACCACAAAACUCCAGAAUAGUCUAUAGUGCUUCAGCAUAAGCAUUCCAUUAAAAUAAGUUCUCGCUAAAAAUGCUUUAGUCCUGGAAACACAGCAGUAACAUCCAAAGGCAAUCAGAAUACUGUGUAUCUGUUGCACUGUUUAUGCAGCUCCUCUAAAGGAAACUGUUCUCCUCCUUUAAGAAGCCCCUGAGGACCAUUUUGUUUACUUUGCUUCUACUCUUACAUCUCCUAAGAUCCAUAUUUAUACAUUUGAAAUUUUUCUGUCAGUUUUUUAAAAAAUGUUAUCUUGUAUCUCAUUAUAAAAUUUUUUAACUUUUAACUUUCUUAGAGGAUUAUGUACUAGAUUAAUUGGCAUAGAACUUCAUGUCUUCCGUUUUAUUCAAGUGUGCUUGAAAUAGAUAUCUCUACAUGUAUAUUUGAAGGAGAAAUUAAUUUUCCUUUUGGGGGUAUUUUUCAUAAACAGAGCUUAAUAAAAGCUAGGGUUCAAUUUUAAUCACAUGGAAAUUAUUUGGAAUGAAAUCUGUAAAGUAAUGCCAAAAGCCAUGCUAUAAAAGAGUGAUUUUCUCAUUUAAGAAACUGCUGUUAUCUUUCAUUUCCUAUAAGAUCAAACUCUUCGGACCUCCUUUGAAGCUGUCCUGCUGCACUUUCUACAAUUUAGUAACAUUCUGGAUAUGAUGAUUAACAAAUGCAAGAUAAAAUGUUCUACUGAAUAGCUCAUUCAGAUGAAAGAUGAAGGAGCAAUAGUGUGGAGUUCCUGACUGCUUCAGACCAUUUUCUCUGGGAAAAUGCUCCUUCCACAGUGAUUAUUGAAGGGCUGGUCUAACUUUAUACCACAUGACCUUUCCUUUGGCCACAUGUGUUUGGAUCAGUGUGGACACCUGAAUCAAGGACAGUUCAAUUUUAUGCAGGUAAGCAGGAACAGUCAGAUUCUAUUUCAGAACAUUAUAUUAAGAUACACUAUAAGUGGGUGACUAUGAAUACAACUUGAAGUAGAAUGUCGGGGCUGGGGUAAUCAUGUUUAACCAUAUGCAAGGUGAUAAACAGAAAAAAAAUUCUUGGGGCCGGCCCAGUGGCAUAGCAGUUAAAUUCAUGCGCUCCACUUUGGCAGCCUGGGGUUGGCUGGUUUGGAUCCUGAGCUCGGACCUACACACCACUUAUCAAGCCAUGCUCUGGCAGAUGUCCCAUGUAUAAAGCAGAGGAGGAUGGGCACAGAUGUUGGCUCAGGGCCAAUCUUCCCCAGCAAAAAGGGGAGGAUUGGCAGCAGAUGUUAGCUCAGGGCUGGUUUUCCUCAAAUAAAAAAGAAAGAAAAUUCUUCACAGAGAAUUAAUUGAUUGAAGAUAUUUAGGGAGUGGCUGUAGCCUAAAAGAGCUACAAAAAGAAUAGCUAUUUAAUUGUUUAUAUAUCUUAUAUACCCUAUAGAGUAAAACCUGCUGUAGAGUUAUAUGCCCUUGAUAGGGAUUUAAACAUUUUUUCUGCCUAAAUUCAUUCAUUUUCCAUAGGGACAGCACAUUAUUCAUUUCCUGGAGAACCUUUGGCUUAAGAAAUUCAUGUACAUUGUUAGAGAGAGAGAUAUUUCCAGAUAUUUUUGAUGAAAUGAUAUGAUAUACUGAACAAUAUCUUUUACUACUGCUAUACAAACUAUACUUCUAACAUACAAACAUAUCUUUUGUUGUUAGUGCUGUUGAGUUUAUUCCAACUCCUAAUGACCCUGGGUACAGCACUGUGGAACCCUGUGUGGUCUUUUUACGCCAUCCUCUCACCUUCCGGCGCUAUUUCAGGCAAUGUUCCAUUACUAUUCAUAGGGUUUUCAUAGCCAAUUUUUUUGCAAGUGGGUGGCCAGGUCCUUCUUCCUAGUCUUUCUUCCUGGGAGCUCUGCUGAAACCUGUCUGUCAUGAGUGAUCCUGCUGGUAUUUGAAAUAUCAGUGGCGUAGGUUUCAGCAUCACAGCAACACACAGCCACCACAGUAUGACAACCGAGAGUCGGGUGGUGUGGUUCCCUGACCAGGAGAGGAACCCAGGCUGCUGCAAUGAGGGCACCAAAUUUUAACCAGUAAACUGCCAAGGCUGGCCACAUGGCCACAUAUGUAUCUAUAUCGAUCUAAUUAUAAUUAUGAUAUAUAAUAUAUGUGUCUAUAUUAUAUAUACAUACGUAGUUUGGACAUUUUACUCAGUCUUUAAGCUGUAUCCACCUACUGUCUGUAGUCCCUUUUAAAAUUUCAGUGUAAUGUCUUAAGCCUUUGCAGUGCUUCUUUGAAUCUGUCACAUGUACGUGUAUGAUGUUCAUAUAUAGAAUUAGGGCAUCCUCUUCUCUGGGUAUCUACCUUGCCAAGAUUUCUCAGACUUCUUUCCCUAUUUCUUCCAGCUGAAAAGGAAACCACUAAGUUUCAUAGUUUUAAUUUGCCAUACUGUUUCAUGGCUUUGGCUUACCCUCUGAGAAAAUCCAUUAAAAAGAAAAUACAGCAAACACACUGUGCCGAUCACUGAUCCAGGUUUUGACUCACCUCAACAGUCUGCCUCUUUAUGUUUAUACUACAGAAUUCCCUGGAAGUUACCUUUUAUUAAAAAUAAAAUUUCUAAUUUUAUUCAUAAAUUUUGAGCUAUUAUUAUCCAGGACAGUCUUUUAUAAGGGAGAAGUACUGUCAUACCAGGAGCAGAAAAGGAGCAUUCGUCUUUAAAACCUUAUUUGUACAUUUAGUUUUAUGGUGCAUUUCUAGAAGUUAAAUAGUUAGAUCACUGAGCAUCUACUUUUAACAUUCUCGUCCCGAAGGAAUAUUACAUCAUUUUAAACUUUCCUCAACACUUUAUAGAAUUUCUGUUUUCCCACAUUUUCAUCAGUACUCGAUAUUAGCAAACUUCAUCAUUUUUGCCACUUUAAGAAAAGGAAACCAGUAGCGUAUCAUUGUUUUCCAUUCUGUUUUCUGAUUACAAAUGAUGUUGGUCAGCUGUUUGUAUUACUUUAUAGUAAAUUGUCUUAUCAUGUCAUUCUGUUUUUUGCAUUUUUUGUAAACCUCUGAAACAGAGAGUUUAGUUGGAAAUAUUUCUUAAUCCAUGGGAAAUUAUUAAUGUUGUGUACAAGUCCCUUCUCUUGGUUUACUUUUUAUUAUUUUUAUUUCACUAUUUUUUUUCCUCCCUGGAUCUCUGCUGUCAUCUCUUUGUUUGAUUCAUCAGGGACCCCACUCCAAUGUUUGGUAAAUGAAGUUAAGUAUAUGUAUUUUAUCAAAACAUAUAUAAUGCAGUUUUGGUUAACUAUAUAUUUAAAUUUAUGUAAGAAGUAUUGUGUUAUAGCGAAAACAUAUAUAAUGCAGUUUUGGUUAACUAUAUAUUUAAAUUUAUGUAAGAAGUAUUGUGUUAUAGCGCUCAUUGAUUUCCUAAUUUUUUGAGUCAUUGUACUUUCAAAACAGAUCAAUAAUCCUGUAGGUACCUUUAGUUUGUUGUAUCGGACUGAUGCACUGUAUUCCACUGUCACCAUAUUUUAAUGAUGAAAUACACUUGUAAUGGACACCUAACUUAUUUCACUCCCUGCUAACAGUAUGCUUAUGCAUUUCAUUUAUCUAAUUACUGGCAAAUUGUUUUCUAGAAUGACUGUUUAAUUUUAAUUUUAUAUCUUGGCAUAAUAAUAGAAUUUUACUAGUUAGUUUACUUGAUUUUUUUUCCUUUACCCAUGGCAAUGUAAGCCUCCUGAGAACAAAAUCAUUAUUUUUGUUUUGUUCAUCUUUGUUUCCAUAGAACUAACCCCAUAAAAUCAUAGGUAUAGAAAACAAUUAAUAAGUACUUGUAGAAAGAUAAAUAAAUGUAAUUUCUGGUUAUAAUGCAAGGUGAUAUUUGUUGUUUUUCUUCAAAUUUUGCUUAGGUCAUUUCCUCUAAAAGCAUGGACUUAAUGCUGGAAAUAUACUGGAAUUUUCAAGAUUGACUAAUCUUCUGAGAAUAGAUAAAAUUUAUUUUCAUCUAAAGAACCACAGUAACACCAAAUGCUGGUGUGAAUGUUGAACAACUUUCAUUGCUGGUGGGAAUGCAAUAUGGUAAAGCCAGCUUGGAAGAUAAUUUGGCAGUUUCUUACAGAACUAAUCAUAAUCUUACCAUUACAAUCCAGCCAUCAUGCUCCUUAGUAUUUACAUAAUGGAGUUGAAAAUUUAUGUCUACGUGAAAACAUGCACACAGAUAUUUAGCAGGUUUAUUCAUAAUUGCAAAAACUUGAAAGUAACCAAGCAGUCCUUCAGUAGGUGAAUGGAUAAAUAAACUGUGGUACAUCCAGACAAUGGAGUAGUCAGUGCUACUGAAAAGAAAUGAGCUAUCAAGACUUGAAAAGACUCAGAAUAUUACUGAGUGAAAGAAGCCAAUCUGAAAAGACUGCAUACUGUAUGAUUCCAAGUAUAUGGCAUUCUGGAAAAAGCAAAACUAUGAAGACAGUAAAAAGAUCAAUGGUUACCAGGAGUUGGGGAGGUAGAGAUGAAUAGGUGGAGCACAAGAGGAUUUUUAUGGCAGUGAAAAUCUCUGUAUGAUGAUAUAAUGAUAGUUACAUGUCAUUAUACAUUUGUCCAGGCCUGUAGAAUGUACACCACCAAGAGUGAUCCCUUAGGUAAACUCUGUACUUGGGGUGAUUAUGAUGCGUCAAUGUAGGUUCAUCAGUUGUAACAAAUGUACCAUCUGGUUGGGGAUGUUGAUCACGAGGGAGGCUAUGCGUGUGAUAUAUGAGAAAUCCCUGUAUUUCCCUCUCAAUUUUGCUGUGAACCUUAAACUGCUCUAAAAAAGUAAAGUCAAUAUAAAAAAACACAAAAAAGUAGCCUUCUUCAGUAAAAGAAACCUGAUUUACAAAGAAUAAAAUUUAAUGGAAUAUAAGUAUGGGAAAUUUUUCUAAAAGUAUUCGCUAUGGAGUUCCUUGAUGUGAGUUCUCCUGAUUAGCUUAAGAGAGUAUUGAAAACACACAACUUUUUCGUUUGAGUGGUUGGGAAUGAAGAAACUUAAGAAAUUGGUAGUAGCUGUUGCUGAUAGAAUAUUAGAUAGAUAAAUAGAAGAUAAAAUAUCUGUUGACGUAUAACUUAAGAAACAAAAUAAUUUUAUUUAAAAAAAAUGAUUUACUCACUAAUCACAAACAUGUCUAGAAUAGAGUGCAAGAUGUCUUUACAUUUUACAAUAUUGCCCAGACCAACUCAUUCUCUGUAUUGAUGAGCACCUGUGGAUUAUCUCGAGGAGAUGCCAUCAAUACUGCAGAUGGCUGACAUCAGUGUAGUUGAUCUGAACGAGCACAGGCGUCUGGGGUUGAAUUUUUUCACUUUCAUAGGUUUUCUUUGGAAGUUGUUCUAAAACAGACAUUUUUUCAAUAUAAAUGUAAAUUAUGAUUCUGAUUUUAUGUCUUCUAGAGAACAUAAUUUUCUCUCUUAUCUUAUAGGUUGUCAUAAUCUAGGAAAGAUCCUAAAUAAAAUCAGUUGUGGCAUAGGAAACAGGGAUACAGAAUUAUUUAGCUCACUUUUUGCUUAAUGGAAGGGUUCAUUUUGGAAAACUAAUAUUGCCUUAAGAACAAGGAUAUCGUUUCAAUAGAAGCUCUUCAUUAAUAAUAAAUAUGCAUAACAUGAAGAUAGUUGUUUUCAGGUGUGUGAAUUGAUAGACAUAUUAUUCCUGAAUUUCUAUAAUCAUCCAUUUGUCAUUCUGAUAUAUGGGUUGGGAGCAUUACGUCCCACAAAUGGUAACUGAUUUUUAAACUACUGGUUACAGAAUAUUAUUAUAAACUGCCCUCCUUCUUUAAUUGUAAAUCAUGUCAGCCUUGAAAAAAUACUCUCUUCAAAGAAAAUUUAUGGAUAUAGCAUCCUAUAAUUAAUAGAAUAAUUGAUACACAUGGAAGAAUGCAUUUAUUAAAGUUAGGAUUAAAUGAUUGGUAGUAGAACCAGCUUGACAUUGGAAGUUUAUUUUAGACUUCUAUCUAGAAGAUCUUAUCUGGAUUUUUACCUGUACAGUUUGUGUUUAAUAAUAGUUCAAGAUAUCUCUUAAUCACAUCUGUCAAAUAAUCCUGAAAAAAAGGCAGUCUUGUCAGUGACAGUCUGGCUUUAGUGACUAAGGACUUCAUUCACUAAGAGAGUCUUGAAAGUAUGAUGUGUAUUGAUGUUCAACUGCCCUAUUUUCAGUCUCAUGGAAUGUAGAAUUCCCAUGGUGUGUGUGAAUCUAAGUGUGUAUGUGUGGAUAGUCUUCAUACUGAUGCAUAUGAAUGUGCAUUCGUUUGUGUAGAUAUUCUUUCUAUAUGAUAUUACUGUUGUUGAUCACCAUCAUUGUGUUCAUAUAUUAUUUAAAUAUAAUGAUGUGUGACUGGUUGUUGUUUCUAAGCUCUCUUUCCAGAGAGGAGGAAAAUAUCAACCCACCCACCCAUUCUCGAUAUUUAAAUUGCAGUUUUGAGAACCCAGCCCUACACUCUACACACAAAAAAAUCAUCUUUUUAUAUUUGAUAGACACAUAAUAUGAGCAACCAUAUGCCAGCUUGAUAUUAAAGUCAAAAUUUUCUGAGGAAUAAUAGCAUUCCAAGGCAUUUUUGAUGUUUAGUUAGAUAACUAUGUGUAUAUAUAUAUGCAUGUAUAUGCCAAAAGUAUAUAUAUUUAUAAAACUUCUGUACAGUAUUGACUAUAUUCUGUUUUAAAAAUCUUUAGAUAUGUAUUACUCAGAAUUGAUUACAUCAUGCUGACAUAACAAAUUAAACCUCAAAUAUCAGUGACUUAACUCAUUAAAAGUUUUUCUUUUCCUCUCUCAAGACAGUUUAGUGCAAUUACUGGGGCAUCAUUCCACAGUCCUUCAGGGACCCUGCUGAAGGUGACUCCAGGUUCAUGUGUCUGAAUCAUUUGGAACAUUAGUGUAGUUGGAGGGUCUUUCACUGGUUUGGCCUGAAAGAGAUUCGUGACAUUACAUUGGUCAUAACUAGUCAUAUGGACCCAACUGACUGCCGAAUGCCUGAAAAAACUGAAAUCUUUUUCAAGAAAGAACAUGGAAUAUUUUUUUUAACUGACUGCCUCUGUCACACUAUAUCUCAACUCUUGCUUCUGUAGGACUGGAAGUCCUGGUCCUAACGAAAGGUUAAAAUUUCUCUAGACAACUCUUAAGGGUUUCAUGGAAUGGUGCCUGGGCCCUUUGGAGUUCUUAUGCCUAGAGACUUGCAGGUGAGAACAGGGGUCACAAUACUGACAAAGGCAGUUGACACUGGUUAGUAAGAGAGGUAAGGGUCUUUUUACAACGUGGAGAUAGUGAAUACAUGUGAAACUCCAGGGAUUUUGUAGGUUCCUCCUGGUACUCCCUUACCCCAACAUAACUUUGAAUGGGCACAUGCAACAACUGCAACCUGAGUUUAUGAUAAUGAAAUACCCAGAACCCCUAGGGGUAAAGGUUUUGUUUAACCACCAAGUAAGCCACCAAGACCUACCUAGGUGAUAGCUGAGGGGGAGAGGGGUUCAUAAUACUGUUAAAGAAAAAAUUAUUCUGACGCUUGUUGAAAUGGUAAGGAAAAAUUUAUUCAAGACUAUGGCAAUAGGGGAGAGAGAUCAAUCUCAACUCCAAAUACAGCAGAGAAAACUGGGGAUUUAUAGCCACUGAAUAGAUUGAGGGGGUCAGUGGAUGGAAAAUUACUAAAAGGAGAUAUCAAGGGUAGGGAGAGUCUUGCUAAAGCAACAACUGGAUUCUUUCUGAAAGUAGGUCAAUGACUUAUACAUCAAAGGUGGGGAAUGGAGAAACUUGAUCAGGUGUUGAGGUGGAUCAGCUAUCAAGGGUGCCUUUGCAGGAUUCCUGUUAAGCUAGGCUUGUCAAGGAUGGAAACAGAAGCCCUAGGUUAAGGCUUAGUCAAGAAGAGUGUUCAGAGAAGCCUAACAAAAGACUAGUCAAGGACAGGGUCUUUGUCAAUGGAUGGUGGAGUAGGGAAAGGAUGAGCACCAGUUGCAGGCCUGAAAUACACUGCAGUGAGGGGGAUGUAGUUAAUCUCACUAAUCUCUCUUCUGACGUUCCUCUUAGGAAGCAAGGCCCAUGAGAUCAAUCUUGCCCGUACCUGUGUAGAUAAUCUGUGUGGUGCAAGGGAUGGGCUCUGGUAGUGAGACAAAUUGCCACUCAGAUCUCUUAACACAUGGAGCGCAGUGUCUGAUGACCUGAGCUGCUCUGCUCUGAAAUCUAUCACUGCUUUUUUUGCUGAUUCCAAGUUUCCCAUGGGCUGCCUCACAUGAAUGACUGAGUCGAACAGGGAAACUAAGGCAAUCCCAUUUCUGGGAGAGGAAGGAUUGCUCUAAUGGGCAAUUUUGGUUUCAUAACUCCUGGUCAACCUUGCCUAACUUUCUUAGACUGCACUGCAAUCUAAGAUGUUUCCCUCUAGUCUUUCCCCCUUCCCUCUCUCCUUCACAAUGGCCAGAACUGUGUUGCAGUCUAAUGUCUGUACAGACUUCUGACAGCUUCUACCUCAUUUUUCCUCAUAAACAUUUCCCCUAGCAAACGCUUGCACAACAAAUUGCAUCCUGGCAUUAUUAGAAUGUGAAAUAGAAACAAAUGAGACUGUCUAGGUCUCUCUGUUUUGUGACCUAAUAUCUUUAUGAAAUUCUUCAAGUUGCUGGCAAAGUUUUCAAACUGCUUAUUUGGCCAGUUCUUCUAUUGUAAACCAGCAAAGGAGCCAAUAUGUGUUUACAGGCUUUCUUGGAGCAAACUCAAGAUAUCACUAUAGACAACAGAACAUAGAUAGGAAAAAAAAAAAGUAAAUUUGAGGAUUUAUAGAGUUUCUGGGAAGGAUACCAUAUUUCCACAGGUGAUAAAAUCGAUGUUUAAAGUUAGUUUUUCUUAAAUUCUCAAGUGGUAGGUAAGACCAAACUGACACUUGAGUUGACAUGGCAUAUAUUAAAUAUUACAUCAGGUAUAUCAACAGAAGUACUAUCAGACUAGAUAACUAUAUCAUGUGUCUGGAGGAAUUUGGAAAUUUCCGUGGCUUCCAAAAUUAGAAUAGGGAGUCUAAAUAGUUGUAGACAAGAAAUCAAGAGUCAAAGACUGCCAGUUAGAGCUGAAGAAGCACUGAGAGGUUAAAACCCACAAAAUUAGUAAGGGAGAGACUCCAUUCUUUUUCCCAGCUAUGAUCUAUUUCAAGUUGCAGUUUUUUUUUUAAUGAUAUUUCCUUUUCUUUUAACUUGUGCCCUUUUUAUUCACUUAAUCACAUAUUAAAAAUGAUAUUAUCUAUUUCCAAGUCUCGCAUCUACUGGAAAUUUAUUCAUGAUUAUAGUAUUAUAUUUAAAAUUAAUUCACAUGAUCAGUGCUCUGCAUUUAAAUGUCACAUAAUAUACAAAUUGAAAAUCUAAUGCCAAUUCACGUGAAAUCCAAUCCAGGUGGUUUUGUUGACCAGGAAAAAUACUGGAUACUUGAGAAAUUUGAGAAAAGGUAGAGUAAAUUUAAUAUCUAGUAGACUAUGAUAGAUUGUCAUUUUGAAAUGAUUCACAGCCAUUGUUAAUAAACUUUGUCUUGAAUUUUACUUUAUUCUAAUUUUUUUCUUGAGUAUAUGAAGCCUACUUGCAGCUUUUAAAGGUUAAACUGUUAAUGCUAGGUCAGUGUUUAUGAAACUAUAAACCCUGGGAUUGUUGGUGGUGGUUUGGAGGAGUCACAUGUAAAUAUGGUAAUAUCAAUUUCACUGUUUUUUUGUUCUGGUUUUAUUUUUUAUUUUAAAAUUAUUUGUUGAAAUAUAGUACACAUAUAGAGAAACAUAAGUACAAGGCUCAAUGGAUGCCAUUACAAAUUGAACACACCUAACUAACAGCCCCCAGACAAAGAAAUAGAAUAUUACCAGCAAUCUCAUGUCCCUUCCAGUCACUACUCUCCCCAAGGGUAAAACUAGCUGGAACAGCCCAAAAGCAUAAAUUAUUUUCAUCUGUUUUGUACUUAUAUAAAUGAAAUCAUAGAAAGAAGAAGGGGAGGAGACAGUAGCCAUAAAAAUGCUCCUAGAACUAAAAAGAGAUUCUAGCAAGAUAGAAGAAUAGAGGAUCAAUAGACAAAAAUUAACUAUUUCUGUAUACUGGCAUGAACAAUGGGAAAAUAAAAUUAAAACACAUACUUUAAAAAUAUUUUAUUUAUACAAUAAAUUUUAUUGUAUGUAAUUAUACCUCAAUAAACUUGAAAUAGAAACAAAAACUGUAAAUCCUCAGUGACUUGCCUUUGACGUCAAACAAAUUCUGUCUUUGCUAUUUACUCGAAAUUUUCAUAUUAUGUUUUCUAAAUUUCAGUUUACUUAUCUGUAUAUUGGGCCUAACAAAAAAUAUUAAGUCUGACUGUCUCAUUUAAUAUGUUAUGAUAAAUAUACAUUAGCAGUUUGUGGGCACGUCACAUGCAUUGAAUAGACAUUAACUGUCUUUUGUGUCUUAUGUAGAUACUUUACAUGGCUUUUUUGCUAAUAAUCACUGUAAUAGCUUUAAAAUUUUUUAAUUAGAAAUGCAAUUCUUUCAGUUUCCUUGGCUAUAACUAAAGGUGAUGGAUCCUAUUAUAGCUCAGUGAGGGAAGAUCGGACUACAUUAGCCUCAACUUCACCAUUUGUGAGAAGCAACCUUAGAAAAUCACAUGGCUGUUACAGGGUAUCCCAAAUUCAGCACUUCUCAAGAGUAGGAAAAUCACACAGGGCAUCGUCUCUCACUGACUUCAUUAGAUCUCUUUUUCCUGUUCUCAGGAAUAGGGGUAUCUAUAUGUCAUCAUUCUCUUCAGCUGCUUGAGUCUUCGAUUAUUAAAUUUAAGUUUAAUGCAACUAAAUUCUUUACGCUGCCAAAUCUACCCUAGUGUAACAAAAUUCAAAGGAACUUUAAGCCAUAUGUUUUUUAACCUUUUCUUAAAAGACAGUUUGAAUUAUAUCACCAUAAUACGAUAUUCGUUAAACAUGAUUUGUAAAGUUUCCUUGCAGUAUAUGUGCCUAAUCAUAGCUGAUAGUAACAGCAAGAAAAAAAAUGGCUAAUUCAUGAAUUUUGUUUUCUUAACCUUUCAUUAAUAAAGUUUAAAAUUUAGAAAUAGAUUCUACCAUAUUAUUGGCCAAGAGUCAGUAGAUGCUAUUUGCAAUUUUUGUGUAUAUUUGAAUUUCCCCCAAUUUACAUCUGACUCCCAGACAUUUGGUUUAUCCCAUACGUAAAUACAUUCAUUAAUAGUCUUUGUAAAAGACUUAUUUGUAAACUUUAUUUACGAAAAUGUCCAUGGAAACACAUAGAAUGAUUUGAAAAUUUCUCCUGCUAUGAAUAUUAAACACAGUUUUGUCAAUAAUAAUUUCACGAGUAUUUGUUAGCACAAAGAUUAAAGGAAAUCUUUUUCAUAAGAAGUUUCUAAUGUAGCAACACACACUUUAGGGAAGAUGUGAUAUUUAGAAUCCUUUGUUCCAAAUGACAUUCAAAGGUUUCCCAACUGGAGUCCUGCUUCAUAUCUUUAGGCAAAAAUAAUGUAAUCCUUUCUUUCUAAUUUAGAAAUAUAUUUGACAGUUAAUAUUCUAUAGUGUUAUAAUUAAUUUAUAGUUUGAAAAAUAUUAGAUCUUUCUGGGAAAUUUUGAGAUACUUUCCAGUUAUUAAU